GUCUACAGCCAUGCUACCCUGAACAAGCCCGAUCCUGUCUGAUCUCGGAAGCUAAGCAGGGUUGGGCUUGGUUAGUACUUGAAUGGGAGAACACCUAAGAAGAUCAGGUGCUAUAGGCG
This 119-nucleotide ribosomal RNA is filed under the name Pteropus alecto (black flying fox). The record is from RNAcentral. Lineage: Eukaryota; Metazoa; Chordata; Mammalia; Chiroptera; Pteropodidae.